AAGUCGUAACAAGGUUUCCGUAGGUGAACCUGCGGAAGGAUCAUUAACACGUAUCCACGUACCCUCAACACCCCCUCUGUGAACCGGGAACGAACACGUGGUGACUUCGGUCACAAGUUCCGACCCACUUUUUUUUCACCCCAUGUGUGACUCUCCGUUUUGAACCCCCCGAGUGGCCUGAUCCCACGUGUCCCUAGCAAUAGUGGACUCGAACCAUAUGGAUGAUCCCAAUGAGUUUUGUACAGCACAACUCUUAGCAAUGGAUAUCUUGGUUCUC
Molecule: unclassified non-coding RNA, 277 nt
Filed under: fungal sp.
Lineage: Eukaryota; Fungi
Description: partial internal transcribed spacer region
Rfam family: Eukaryotic small subunit ribosomal RNA (bases 1-46)
Source: RNAcentral